This 266-nucleotide ribosomal RNA is filed under the name uncultured Staphylococcus sp. RNAcentral's name for it is "partial 16S ribosomal RNA". It matches the Rfam family "Bacterial small subunit ribosomal RNA", at positions 96 to 355 of the family's 1533-position model. The record is from RNAcentral. Lineage: Bacteria; Bacillati; Bacillota; Bacilli; Caryophanales; Staphylococcaceae.
CGGCGGACGGGUGAGUAACACGUGGGCAACCUACCUAUAAGACUGGGAUAACUUCGGGAAACCGGAGCUAAUACCGGAUAAUAUUUCGAACCGCAUGGUUCGAUAGUGAAAGAUGGUUUUGCUAUCACUUAUAGAUGGACCUGCGCCGUAUUAGCUAGUUGGUAAGGUAACGGCUUACCAAGGCGACGAUACGUAGCCGACCUGAGAGGGUGAUCGGCCACACUGGAACUGAGACACGGUCCAGACUCCUACGGGAGGCAGCAGCU